GAUGAACGCUAGCUACAGGCUUAACACAUGCAAGUCGAGGGGAAACGACAUCGAAAGCUUGCUUUUGAUGGGCGUCGACCGGCGCACGGGUGAGUAACGCGUAUCCAACCUGCCCACCACUUGGGGAUAACCUUGCGAAAGUAAGACUAAUACCCAAUGACGUCUCUAGAAGACAUCUGAAAGAGAUUAAAGAUUUAUCGGUGAUGGAUGGGGAUGCGUCUGAUUAGCUUGUUGGCGGGGUAACGGCCCACCAAGGCGACGAUCAGUAGGGGUUCUGAGAGGAAGGUCCCCCACAUUGGAACUGAGACACGGUCCAAACUCCUACGGGAGGCAGCAGUGAGGAAUACUGGUCAAUGGACGAGAGUCUGAACCAGCCAAGUAGCGUGCAGGAUGACGGCCCUAUGGGUUGUAAACUGCUUUUAUAAGGGAAUAAAGUGAGUCUCGUGAGACUUUUUGCAUGUACCUUAUGAAUAAGGACCGGCUAAUUCCGUG
This 492-nucleotide ribosomal RNA is filed under the name uncultured bacterium. Its description in RNAcentral is "partial 16S ribosomal RNA". It matches the Rfam family "Bacterial small subunit ribosomal RNA", at positions 28 to 507 of the family's 1533-position model. The record is from RNAcentral.